This 366-nucleotide ribosomal RNA is filed under the name Triticum aestivum (bread wheat). RNAcentral describes it as "partial small subunit ribosomal RNA". Lineage: Eukaryota; Viridiplantae; Streptophyta; Magnoliopsida; Poales; Poaceae. The record is from RNAcentral.
AUGAGAGAUGUCCUGAAGGUUUGUCAUGCUCAUGUAGUUGUGUUAAAUUAUAGGGAUGGAAUACUUAUUAUCCUUGUAGGAGGCAAAGAUUUCACCACGUUGCACACACCUGCUUACAUUCUCAACAAAAGUCUACUUCUCAACUCUAAACUUAGCCAAAAGUUUAAUUCUCCAUACCACUGCCAUGGAUGGACAAACAAACACUAUGAUAAAAAGCAAUCUAACAAUUUACACCACUUGGAGAUAUGUAAAUUAGACUAUUUUCUAUAUUAUUUUUUGUUAUUGUGUUUUUACUUGAUUGUGAUUCAGUACAGCCCUUUGGAGAUAUCUAAUAAAAUGUCUUCUCCUUUAAUUUGUUGUGUUUAA